Molecule: ribosomal RNA, 619 nt
Filed under: bacterium
Lineage: Bacteria
Description: bacterial SSU rRNA
Rfam family: Bacterial small subunit ribosomal RNA
Source: RNAcentral
AGGAAACAGCUUGCUGUUUCGCUGACGAGUGGCGGACGGGUGAGUAAUGUCUGGGAAACUGCCUGAUGGAGGGGGAUAACUACUGGAAACGGUAGCUAAUACCGCAUAACGUCGCAAGACCAAAGAGGGGGACCUUCGGGCCUCUUGCCAUCGGAUGUGCCCAGAUGGGAUUAGCUAGUAGGUGGGGUAACGGCUCACCUAGGCGACGAUCCCUAGCUGGUCUGAGAGGAUGACCAGCCACACUGGAACUGAGACACGGUCCAGACUCCUACGGGAGGCAGCAGUGGGGAAUAUUGCACAAUGGGCGCAAGCCUGAUGCAGCCAUGCCGCGUGUAUGAAGAAGGCCUUCGGGUUGUAAAGUACUUUCAGCGGGGAGGAAGGGAGUAAAGUUAAUACCUUUGCUCAUUGACGUUACCCGCAGAAGAAGCACCGGCUAACUCCGUGCCAGCAGCCGCGGUAAUACGGAGGGUGCAAGCGUUAAUCGGAAUUACUGGGCGUAAAGCGCACGCAGGCGGUUUGUUAAGUCAGAUGUGAAAUCCCCGGGCUCAACCUGGGAACUGCAUCUGAUACUGGCAAGCUUGAAUUCUCGAAAGGGGGGUAGAAAUUUCCAUGUGUAGCG